RNAcentral lists this ribosomal RNA (227 nucleotides) under uncultured Fusobacterium sp. Its description in RNAcentral is "partial 16S ribosomal RNA". It matches the Rfam family "Bacterial small subunit ribosomal RNA", at positions 28 to 252 of the family's 1533-position model. The record is from RNAcentral. Lineage: Bacteria; Fusobacteriati; Fusobacteriota; Fusobacteriia; Fusobacteriales; Fusobacteriaceae.
GAUGAACGCUGACAGAAUGCUUAACACAUGCAAAUCUACUUAAAUUUGGGUUUUUUAACUUCGAUUUGGGUGGUGGACGGGUGAGUAACGCGUAAAGAACUUGCCUCACAGACAGGGACAACAUUUGGAAACGAAUGCUAAUACCUGAUAUUAUGAUUUUAGGGCAUCCUAGGAUUAUGAAAGCUAUAUGCGCUGUGAGAGAGCUUUGCGUCCCAUUAGCUAGUUGG